GACGAACGCUGGCGGCGUGCUUAACACAUGCAAGUCGAGCGGUAAGGCCCUUUCGGGGUACACGAGCGGCGAACGGGUGAGUAACACGUGGGUGACCUGCCCUCAGCUCUGGGAUAAGCCGUGGGAAACCGGGUCUAAUACUGGAUAUGACUCCAUGACGCAUGUUGGUGGGGUGGAAAGCCUUGUGCGGCUGGAGGAGUCGGGCCCGCGGCCUAUCAGCUU
This 222-nucleotide ribosomal RNA is filed under the name uncultured bacterium. Its description in RNAcentral is "partial 16S ribosomal RNA". It matches the Rfam family "Bacterial small subunit ribosomal RNA", at positions 28 to 247 of the family's 1533-position model. The record is from RNAcentral.